AGAAAUGUAGCUUAGUGGUAGAGUGCUUGCCUAGCAUGCAUGAAGCCCUAGGUUCAAUUCCUCAGUACUA
Molecule: transfer RNA, 70 nt
Filed under: Dipodomys ordii (Ord's kangaroo rat)
Lineage: Eukaryota; Metazoa; Chordata; Mammalia; Rodentia; Heteromyidae
Rfam family: tRNA
About the family: Transfer RNA (tRNA) molecules are approximately 80 nucleotides in length. Their secondary structure includes four short double-helical elements and three loops (D, anti-codon, and T loops).
Source: Rfam by way of RNAcentral